Molecule: ribosomal RNA, 334 nt
Filed under: uncultured soil bacterium
Lineage: Bacteria
Description: bacterial SSU rRNA
Rfam family: Bacterial small subunit ribosomal RNA
Source: RNAcentral
AGAACGAACGCUGGCGGCAUGCCUAAUACAUGCAAGUCGAACGAACUCUUCGGAGUUAGUGGCGCACGGGUGCGUAACGCGUGGGAAUCUGCCCUUGGGUUCGGAAUAACAGUUGGAAACGACUGCUAAUACCGGAUGAUGACGAAAGUCCAAAGAUUUAUCGCCCAGGGAUGAGCCCGCGUAGGAUUAGCUAGUUGGUGAGGUAAAGGCUCACCAAGGCGACGAUCCUUAGCUGGUCUGAGAGGAUGAUCAGCCACACUGGGACUGAGACACGGCCCAGACUCCGUACGGGAGCAGCAAGUAGGGAAUAGUUGGACAAGUGGGGACGAAAGCC